Transfer RNA from Melissococcus plutonius ATCC 35311, 87 nucleotides. It matches the Rfam family "tRNA". Rfam says of the family: Transfer RNA (tRNA) molecules are approximately 80 nucleotides in length. The record is from Rfam. NCBI's taxonomy places the organism in Bacteria, Bacillati, Bacillota, Bacilli, Lactobacillales, Enterococcaceae.
GGAAGGUUGGCAGAGUGGUAAUGCACCGGACUCGAAAUCCGGCGAACCGAUAAUAUCGGCGCGCAGGUUCAAAUCCUGUACCUUCCU